AUGUGACUGUGGAUCGAGCCCAUGUGAAGCCUCUUCGACGAGUCGAGUUGUUUGGGAAUGCAGCUCAAAAUGGGUGGUAAAUUUCAUCUAAAGCUAAAUACUGGCUGGAGACCGAUAGCGCACAAGUAGAGUGAUCGAAAGAUGAAAAGCACUUUGGAAAGAGAGUCAAACAGUACGUGAAAUUGUUGAAAGGGAAGCGCUUGCAACCAGACCUGUCCGUAGGUGAUCAGCCGCUGUUCUCAGUGGUGCACUCGCUCUGCGAUCAGGCCAGCAUCGGUUCGGGCGGUCGGAUAAAGGCCUUGGGAAUGUAGCUUCCUUCGGGGAGCCUUAUAGCCCUCGGUGCAAUGCGGCCAGCCGGGACCGAGGACCGCGCUUCGGCUAGGAUGCUGGCGUAA
Molecule: ribosomal RNA, 395 nt
Filed under: Hypogymnia subarticulata
Lineage: Eukaryota; Fungi; Ascomycota; Lecanoromycetes; Lecanorales; Parmeliaceae
Description: partial 28S large subunit ribosomal RNA
Rfam family: Eukaryotic large subunit ribosomal RNA
Source: RNAcentral